This is an RNA transcript of Cyclopterus lumpus (lumpfish), 2447 nucleotides long. It is a transcript of the gene named chromosome 2 C8orf74 homolog, with no coding region annotated. The transcript has 5 exons. Lineage: Eukaryota; Metazoa; Chordata; Actinopteri; Perciformes; Cyclopteridae. The record is from RefSeq and is a predicted model, not a curated record.
CAGGCGACGCACGCGCCUCCGUCGGUCUCCAAUACAAACCCGGGUGCGCUUUUGUCGCUCGUGGAGAAUGGAGUCCCUCACUGAGAGUGAAAUAGCGCAGAUAGCGAGGCAGCAGAGAGAGGCUGGCCUGCCGAGGCUCAGCCGCCACUUCUCCUGGCCCGAGUUCGGCGACGAGCGGCGGUGCUUCCACCAGGAGUUUGUGUACGAUGUCGCCAUGUUUGCCGCGGCCCGAGGCUUCCCCUGGCCCGCCGUGAUCCGGGCAACUGCGGUCGCCAAAGGCCUCUUCCCGCAGCUGGACGGUCCUGACGUACCCGGGCUAUUGGCCCUUCUGAGAGACGCGCUGUCUGCUGAGUGUUUGCCAAACUUCACCCCUGUACACCGGCACGAGUUCGCCCGGUUCCUCACGGGUGCCUGCAUUGCCCGGCGGAGGCUUUUCCAGGCAGCGGUGGGUGGAGCAGCCAACGUGUCCAUCACUCGGCUACACUUGGAGGUGCAGUUGCCGCCCACACCCUGUCCCCUAGCAGAGGGCACAGAUCUGCAUGAGUGGGAGCAUCAGCGUCACUAAGCCGAGCUCACGCCAGUGUUGCGACAGGAGGAGGUCAAGGGUCACUCUGGGGGAAGUCGAAGUUACUAAGGGUGAACAGCCGGACAAAGAAGUACAACUCACAAAAAUAUAUUUUUUAAAAAGAAAAACAAGAAAGGUUCAUUGAACCGAGAUGCUGUUAUAUCCUGCAGCUUCGACUGCAGUGGGUAGGGCCGGCCACAAGAGGGCUCUACAACCCCACUCUUUCCAACACAGGUCCUGAUACACAAGAUGCACCAGCUGAGGCAAAGCUGCACAAGCAAAAAGAGGACAGAGGAGAUGUCUGGAGAUGCGGUGCGGCUGAGCAGUGACUCUGCGGGAGCCUCCAGGAUCUCCAGAGUCGCCCUGAGACAGUCGUCUGGACGGGAGGAGAGGAAGGGAGCGGAGAGAGACAGAACAGAUGAAGGACAGAGGCGGAUUGCAGUAUGAACAUAAUUUUCUUUUCAAGUAAAAAAAACAAACAAACAAGUCUGGCAUUACCAAUGUACAUCAUAGGGAGCCGCGUGUCACUGCGCAGGUUGCACUCAAAACUACCCGUCUUCACAGCUGCGUGGAAGAUCUGGACCGCGUAGUCUGGGAGAUGGAAAAACAGAUCAAGAUUAGGACCACCAACACUCUUCUGUUUAAUCCGCACAAACUACGGCCCACUACAAUUGCUUGCUCCACCCUCUUAAUCCUUCGGUAGAUUACACCUUAAUCACUUCACCCUUUACGACCUGCUAACCUGUGGUUCCCCCUCCAGGCUGAGAGUCGGCUGAGAUGAUGCCUGGAUACCUGAGACAGCGGAAAUCCAGUGCGUACCUGUGAUGGUAGUACUGACAAAGAGGCGUACACAAAGCUUUAACAUUUUUUUUUUUUAAAACAUAGCUCCGUGGUAAAAGGCUGAUAUGUAUUUGAAAACGGCGUCUGUGCGUCUGCACCGUCGCGUCUCACCUCACCCAUCAGCUCCGCAUGGACCUUGGACACGCCGUAGAUGGUGCGUGGCCUCUGCACACACAGCUCCGGGGUGGGGUCCCUGGGUGAGGACGGACCGAAGGCACCGAUCGUGCUGGGGACAAACACACGCAGACCAUGUUCGGUUGCUAUGUCUAAUAUGUUAUGGAGACCUACGAAGAGAGAGAGGCUGCGCAUAAGUGUCUGCGUGAGGACGGAGCUAAACGCUGCUGCAACGUUCCUUUUAGAAGCUUUUAUUAGAGCAGCUUGUCUUCGGGAGUUUCACACGCGCAUGUACCUGUGAUGUUGACCUCUUUGGCCAGCGCAACGUUGCUCUCCCCCACAGCAGACAGCACAGCAGAGUAGUGAACCAGCCAGCUGAUGUUGUUGUUCACCACGAUCUCCCUGAGGUUUUUGUAGUCCAGGAUGUCUGAGAAGAUGAACGGCCCUAUGGAGGACACACAUGCACAGAAGUUAGAAGAAGUCGUCUGCGGACUUGUAUAUCUGCUCGGCCCAAACGAUGCAAAGAACAUGAUCAAGUGUGUUUUGUUUCUUUGGGUGGCAGAAUUCCACAGGGUAGGUUAUACUGGCAUACACACCAUUAUGGUAGACAUGGUUGGGGGGUUUCCGGAUGUCAGACAGGAUCACGUUGUUCUUUCCGAAGCGUCUCCUGAGUGUGAAAUGCCAACAUGGUCAUAUGGGACAAAAUGGUAACCGAGGAGAAGACUGUUGGACUUCGUCCCGUCGCCGUGCCCCAACCCUUUGCAACUGAGCGCAAAUACAAAACGACACUGCCAACAUUUGAAAUAGGAGCUUAUCUACACACUCCUUACCUUAGCAACUUGGCGAGCCCCACCCCGAGCUGACCAAGCCCUCCUGUAACGAUACAAAAGCAAAGGGAAAAGUGUGUUUGACUUGAUACUAUAGAAGA